RNAcentral lists this long non-coding RNA (202 nucleotides) under Mytilus galloprovincialis (Mediterranean mussel). Lineage: Eukaryota; Metazoa; Mollusca; Bivalvia; Mytilida; Mytilidae. The record is from RNAcentral.
CGGGCGGCUACAACGGGGACAUGAACAAAUUUAUCACGUACAUUACAUUGCUUAUCUCCAGUUUGUGUUCCUAUGUGUCUCUGUAGGUCAGUAUUUUAAUGCAUUUAAGUUCAUGUAUAGAUAAUAAUACAUGUACCUCAUAGUUAUAAGGUUUAUCACCAAUAAAUGUUCUAUUAUUUCUUCAAGUUUAUAUUAUCAUCAA